RNAcentral lists this ribosomal RNA (207 nucleotides) under Triticum aestivum (bread wheat). RNAcentral's name for it is "partial small subunit ribosomal RNA". The record is from RNAcentral. Lineage: Eukaryota; Viridiplantae; Streptophyta; Magnoliopsida; Poales; Poaceae.
AUGCAGAAGUCUUUCAUGGUAGGGAUCAACCUUUACAGCCGGAGCUUGGUCGUCGCCAUGGAGUGGCUGGUUCAAGAGGUCCUAUACUUCCAAUGUUUCGUCAUGACAGUCCAGAAUUUUCUCUGUUUCUAUCUGAAGGCAGCAAAAGCAGACGACAAAGUCGAGGAUCUGGCCAAGCACCUGGCCCUGCUCACACUUCUGGACUAG